GGGCGGUUAGCUCAGCUGGCUAGAGCGCCUCGCUUACACCGAGGAGGCGCCUCGCUUACACCGAGGAGGUCGUUGGUUCAAGUCCAUCACCGCCCA
RNAcentral lists this transfer RNA (96 nucleotides) under Chloroflexota bacterium. RNAcentral describes it as "Chloroflexi bacterium tRNA-Val". It matches the Rfam family "tRNA". From Rfam's summary of the family: Transfer RNA (tRNA) molecules are approximately 80 nucleotides in length. Their secondary structure includes four short double-helical elements and three loops (D, anti-codon, and T loops). Lineage: Bacteria; Bacillati; Chloroflexota. RNAcentral also lists the same sequence under 1 other name. The record is from RNAcentral.